This 311-nucleotide ribosomal RNA is filed under the name uncultured bacterium. RNAcentral's name for it is "bacterial SSU rRNA". It matches the Rfam family "Bacterial small subunit ribosomal RNA", at positions 28 to 326 of the family's 1533-position model. The record is from RNAcentral.
GAUGAACGCUGGCGGCGUGCUUAACACAUGCAAGUCGAACGAAGCGAUUUGGCAGAAGUUUUCGGAUGGAAGCUAGAUUGACUGAGUGGCGGACGGGUGAGUAACGCGUGGGUAACCUGCCUCACACUGGGGGACAACAGUUAGAAAUGACUGCUAAUACCGCAUAAGCGCACAGGAUCGCAUGGUCCGGUGUGAAAAACUCCGGUGGUGUGAGAUGGACCCGCGUUUGAUUAGCUAGUUGUGGGUAACGGCUACCAAGGCGACGAUCAAUAGCCGACCUGAGAGGUGACCGGCACAUUGGGACUGAGACA